GAUGAACGCUGGCGGCGUGCCUAAUACAUGCAAGUCGAGCGAACAGACGAGGAGCUUGCUCCUCUGACGUUAGCGGCGGACGGGUGAGUAACACGUGGAUAACCUACCUAUAAGACUGGGAUAACUUCGGGAAACCGGAGCUAAUACCGGAUAAUAUAUUGAACCGCAUGGUUCAAUAGUGAAAGACGGUUUUGCUGUCACUUAUAGAUGGAUCCGCGCCGCAUUAGCUAGUUGGUAAGGUAACGGCUUACCAAGGCAACGAUGCGUAGCCGACCUGAGAGCGUGAUCGGCCACACUGGAACUGAGACACGGUCCAGACUCCUACGGGAGGCAGCAGUAGGGAAUCUUCCGCAAUGGGCGAAAGCCUGACGGAGCAACGCCGCGUGAGUGAUGAAGGUCUUCGGAUCGUAAAACUCUGUUAUUAGGGAGGAACAAAUGUGUAAGUAACUAUGCACGUCUUGACGGUACCUAAUCAGAAAGCCACGGCUAACUACGUG
This 497-nucleotide ribosomal RNA is filed under the name uncultured bacterium. RNAcentral's name for it is "partial 16S ribosomal RNA". It matches the Rfam family "Bacterial small subunit ribosomal RNA", at positions 28 to 507 of the family's 1533-position model. The record is from RNAcentral.